AGGAGGUGGGAACAGAGGGUAUCUGAGACUCAUCUCACAGAGUCAUGGAGUUAAAAUGGAUUGAUUCAAGUGGCUAAAAAUUUGCCUGAAGACAUUUUUCUGUAUUUACUAUUAGGAACUAUUAAUUUCAACAGUUCGAGACAGGAGGCCAUGGAGAGUGUAGGAAUCAAAAAGAAUAAAUAUUUGAAAAAGCAACCAGUAAACAGACAGGGAUUUAGACUAAUGACCUAAGCAGAAAAUAAUGUCAUGGGUUCAGAGCUGCACAGACUAAUCCUCUGGUGAUAAAUCUUAACUGCAAGGCUUUAUAAACUUUUCCUGACUUGUGGGUGAACUUCAGGAUAGAAACAAGAGGAGCUAGUUGCCCUUGGAAAUCUGCCGGUGAUGUAGAGGGAAAAAGGAAGCUGGAACAGGAGGAAAGACUGGCUAAGUGUCUGAAGGCUGCUGCCAGCUGGUUUUUGAAUCAACAUAGGUCAUGUCAGAUGCAAAGAAGCAAAUCCAGCAUCGUUAGCCAGCUGCUGCUGCCCGCUCCAUGCAAGAGCUUCUGAAUAGCAACAUCCUGAAGAGCUGAACACAUCCAAGCCCAAAAGGACCAGAAUUUGCCCUGUUAGGGCCAGACCUUCGGAGUCUUUCUUAGAAGCGAACUUAAAUUGCUUCAGGAAACAUGAGGCUUCAGAAAUGGAAACACCAUGUGACAGUGGGGACGGGCUGGCCAAGGAGAGCUCAUCGUUUCCAGGGUCACUUUGCAGAAACCCCAUAUUUCUUAGUGUUGCCUCUUGGUGACUGCCAAUGAGCGGAUCUCAUCAUAGCUGAAAAUUCAGGAACAUGUGCAAAGAAGCCACCCAAAUGGACAAGAAAUUUGAAUAUUCUCUCUCCUGGCUUUUUGCUUUAGAAUGAGAAGACUGCAGACCAAAACAACUGUACACAACACCUAUUCUAGAGUGCAUUUUCAAUUCUGCAGUGCCAAAAACUCAGAAUGAAUGGAUUCCAGAAAUAAAAUAUUCCAUGCAACCUUAA
Poecile atricapillus (Black-capped chickadee) is the source of this 1014-nucleotide long non-coding RNA. RefSeq lists it as uncharacterized. Lineage: Eukaryota; Metazoa; Chordata; Aves; Passeriformes; Paridae. The transcript is spliced from 5 exons. The record is from RefSeq and is a predicted model, not a curated record.